UAGGGAAUAUUGGGCAAUGGACGAGAGUCUGACCCAGCCAUGCCGCGUGCCGGAUGAAGGCCUUCUGGGUUGUAAACGGCUUUUCUCAGGGAAGAAAAAGACCAUGCGUGGUACACUGACGGUACCUGAGGAAUAAGCACCGGCUAACUCCGUGCCAGCAGCCGCGGUAAUACGGAGGGUGCAAGCGUUGUCCGGAUUUAUUGGGUUUAAAGGGUGCGUAGGUGGCCCGUUAAGUCCGGGGUGAAAUCCCACAGCUCAACUGUGGAACUGCCCUGGAUACUGGCGGGCUUGAGUCCAGACGAGGUUGGCGGAAUGGAAGGUGUAGCGGUGAAAUGCAUAGAUACCUUCCAGAACCCCGAUUGCGUAGGCAGCUGACUAGGCUGGUACUGACACUGAGGCACGAAAGCGUGGGGAGCGAACA
RNAcentral lists this ribosomal RNA (421 nucleotides) under uncultured Hymenobacter sp. RNAcentral describes it as "bacterial SSU rRNA". It matches the Rfam family "Bacterial small subunit ribosomal RNA", at positions 355 to 774 of the family's 1533-position model. Lineage: Bacteria; Pseudomonadati; Bacteroidota; Cytophagia; Cytophagales; Hymenobacteraceae. The record is from RNAcentral.